RNAcentral lists this ribosomal RNA (979 nucleotides) under uncultured bacterium. Its description in RNAcentral is "bacterial SSU rRNA". It matches the Rfam family "Bacterial small subunit ribosomal RNA", at positions 416 to 1395 of the family's 1533-position model. The record is from RNAcentral.
CUUCGGUGUAAAGUACUUCAGCGGGAGGAAGGCGAUGCGGUUAUAACCGGUCGAUUGACGUUACCGCAGAAGAAGCACCGGCUAAUUCCGUGCCAGCAGCCGGGGUAAUACGGAGGGUGCAAGCGUUAAUCGGAAUUACUGGGCGUAAAGCGCACGCAGGCGUUCUGUUAAGUCAGAUGUGAAAUCCCCGGGCUCAACCCGGGAACUGCAUUUGAAACUGGCAGGCUUGAGUCUCGUAGAGGGGGGUGGAAUUCCAGGUGUAGUGGUGAAAUGCGUAGAGAUCUGGAGGAAUACCGGUGGCGAAGGCGGCCCCCUGGACGAAGACUGACGCUCAGGUGCGAAAGCGUGGGGAGCAAACAGGAUUAGAUACCCUGGUAGUCCACGCCGUAAACGAUGUCGAUUUGGAGGCUGUGCCCUUGAGGUGUGGCUUCCGUAGCUAACGCGUUAAAUCGACCGCCUGGGGAGUACGGCCGCAAGGUUAAAACUCAAAUGAAUUGACGGGGGCCCGCACAAGCGGUGGAGCAUGUGGUUUAAUUCGAUGCAACGCGAAGAACCUUACCUGGUCUUGACAUCCACGGAAGACUGCAGAGAUGUGGUUGUGCCUUCGGGAGCCGUGAGACAGGUGCUGCAUGGCUGUCGUCAGCUCGUGUUGUGAAAUGUUGGGUUAAGUCCCGCAACGAGCGCAACCCUUAUCCUUUGUUGCCAGCGGUUCGGCCGGGAACUCAAAGGAGACUGCCGGUGAUAAACCGGAGGAAGGUGGGGAUGACGUCAAGUCAUCAUGGCCCUUACGACCAGGGCUACACACGUGCUACAAUGGCGCAUACAAAGAGAAGCGACCUCGCGAGAGCAAGCGGACCUCAUAAAGUGCGUCGUAGUCCGGAUCGGAGUCUGCAACCCGACUCCGUGAAGUCGGAAUCGCUAGUAAUCGUGGAUCAGAAUGCCACGGUGAAUACGUUCCCGGGCCUUGUACACACCGCCC